Sinocyclocheilus rhinocerous is the source of this 480-nucleotide long non-coding RNA. RefSeq lists it as uncharacterized. The record is from RefSeq and is a predicted model, not a curated record. NCBI's taxonomy places the organism in Eukaryota, Metazoa, Chordata, Actinopteri, Cypriniformes, Cyprinidae. The transcript has 3 exons.
UAACUAGUUCAGAUAAAACAUUGAUUCUAUUUUCUUUAUUUUCUUGGAACAAUCUGAUGUGUGAAAUACUUUUGCUCAGUUUGAGAAGAACCAGUAAAGCUUGACUCCUUGCGCCUUGCCAGGACAGGCACGUCCAAACCUACAGCAGAUGCCUGCCACAUUGACAUGAAGAGGAAUUAAUGGGACAAGGAAUCAAAAAGAAAUGUUUGGAGCUGUCUUAAAAGCCCCAUCAGUGCAUGGGUCCCUCAUCACUGGAAGCCAUGGAGGACCUAAACUCUGUGACUGUGGGCACACUAAAGCGUAGAGUACGACAGAGGAAACGGAUUCAUGAGAUUAUCAGGACCAAGUUGCAGCGAAACCUCUCCUGCUCAGGAUCUAAACUGAAGAGCACUCUAACAGGCUUCUUCCCCGUAGUGAAAUGGCUUCCCAAGUACAAGGUGAAGGACUAUAUAUGGGGAGAUCUGAUGUCUGGGCUCAUAG